GUGGUUGUAGCUCAGUGGUAGAAUGCUUGCCAAGCAUGUAUGAAGUUCUGGGUUUGAUCCUCAGAAGCCACA
This 72-nucleotide transfer RNA is filed under the name Marmota monax (woodchuck). RNAcentral's name for it is "tRNA.Ala". Lineage: Eukaryota; Metazoa; Chordata; Mammalia; Rodentia; Sciuridae. The record is from RNAcentral.